GUACUCACUUCAGCACAUACACUAAAAUUGGAAUGAUACAGAGAAGAUUAGCUUGGUGCCUGUGGAAGGAUGACAAGCAAGUUCAUGAAGCAUUAUAUAUUUUU
This 104-nucleotide small nuclear RNA is filed under the name Dasypus novemcinctus (nine-banded armadillo). Lineage: Eukaryota; Metazoa; Chordata; Mammalia; Cingulata; Dasypodidae. The record is from RNAcentral.